RNAcentral lists this long non-coding RNA (682 nucleotides) under Elaeis guineensis (African oil palm). Its description in RNAcentral is "long non-coding RNA (EGUI_LNC005926)". The record is from RNAcentral. Lineage: Eukaryota; Viridiplantae; Streptophyta; Magnoliopsida; Arecales; Arecaceae.
UGUAAAGCAGGAACUAUUAUGACUAGAAGUUAUAAUUGUUUAUGAUUUUCAAAUUCUUAAAUGUGUGUAAAUAAACUAGUUUGAGUUGUAGUAUUACUAUGUUACAAAUAUAGACCAUGAUUUCCAUAAAACGAUCACUUUGGUUACAUCCUUGCAUAAAGCUAAUUUUCUACCAUAAAAAACAUGAAGCCAGAUUUUGGUGGCCAGACCUUGUCGGUAUUCUCCAUAACCUGUGGAUGGCGAUCUAAUCGGUUGCAAUACUACUGUAUGGUCAUGAAUGCAAUACUAUCAUAUGGUCAUGAGACGGGGGCUAAAGAAGAGUGAACACAAGUUGUCAACAAUGACCACAGGGUUCCAUGAAGUCCGUUGCACUCUAAAGUAUAUGCUGCAGUUUUAGAGGCGUUUGUUAUCUCCUUCAGCAGGUCUCUAUAAUCAAAACUAGCCACAUAUAAAAGGAUGGCUUAAUUAGUAGAAUUUGGAUUAAGCAAGACCCUGCAGGUGUAUAUACCACAGCGCAACGAUUCACAUGCAUAAUAAAAGAAAACUCUACGAACUCCUUGAUUCUUGAUUACUGGUAGUGUGAAAUGGUUACGGUAAACAUAACAAUUCACAUUAAAAAAUCAUCUGGAUUAUGUAGUGUUAAAUUCAUAUUACAUUCCAUUGCUCCUGGAUGAUAUGGGGA